This is a long non-coding RNA of Marmota monax (woodchuck), 3878 nucleotides long. RefSeq lists it as uncharacterized. The record is from RefSeq and is a predicted model, not a curated record. The transcript is spliced from 4 exons. Lineage: Eukaryota; Metazoa; Chordata; Mammalia; Rodentia; Sciuridae.
GUCACGUGACGAGGAACUAGCCGUAACCUUUCGGAAAUGCCUAAUUCUGGCAGGAUCCUGGUAACUUGGGUAACGGGCUGUUAGGAUGAGAAGCUUGGACUCCUCUCGUUUCCCCCUAAGACACUUUAGUCUGGGGCGGUCUCUGUGAUGCGGAAAUAUUUUCCUCUCCGGAGGGUUCCCUUCUCACCAUGUCUGGCUGGCGGCGUCCCAGAUGCCAUGUGAUGGUCAUUUGAAGACAGGACUGCCGGAUAUCAGGUUUCAUCCAAUUUUGGUGUUUAUCUGAAUUGUUGAUGCUGGAUGCAGGAGAAACCCAAGUGAUCAUUUUGUUAUUAAGGUAUCAAAGCAGCUUACGUUAGAAUGAAACUUUUCAGAAAGUUCAUGAAAGAUGCUGAAUGUCAUGGAAGGCCCAAAGUCCACAUGAGGAGAGAAGAUGCCUGAGACAAACAACUCCUAAUAAUAAUAAAUCUGAUGGUCUCUUCAUGCCACCCUGCAUUGAACCAGAAUUGACAGUCAUUCCUGACACUGUGCCACGUGACACUUACUGAAGAUCUGCAGGGACAGGAACUGGGGUGAGGUGAGCGAGGCACUUGAUUUGAGUGCAACAUUUAAGUAGGUCCCAAGAAACUCAGUAAUCAAGAUAAAUACUAUUUGUAAAGUGUUAAAUAUUUUAACACAUCAUUUUAAAAGUCAAAAUUAAGGCAAAUACUUAUGAUGGACAAACUUAAAAUUUUAAGUAAGGACAGGAUUUAAUAUAAAACUUGAUGUUAGCCAUUUAUAUUAUUAAGAUACCUCUGACUGACUAGACCUACAUCAUCUGCAUUUCCAGGUGUCUUAUUGCGGAAAUGUUUUACCUUUUUUAAUUUUUAAUUUUGUGGUACUUGAGAUUGAACCCAGGGCCUUGUGCAUGCUAGGCCGGUACUAUACCACUAAGCUACAACUCCAGCCCUUUUAUCUUUGUUCUCUUUAUUUCCAGGCCUUCCCCCCAGCAAUGGCAUAAUAUAGGAAAGUCAGUCUUCUUCUUUUUUACUUUUUUAUGGUGCUGGGACUCAAACUAGGACACCAUGCAUGCCAAGCACAUGCUGUACCACUGAGCCAAUCCCCAAUUGUAGUAUUUUAAAAAUUUUAUUAUGUAAAACUUAUCAGUCAUUGUCUCAUCUCCUUUCCAAACUCUGCUUUGCCUCCUGGCUUUCCAAAACCAAAAUGGCUCUUUAAGAUAUUUUGUAAAUAAUGGGCUACCUACUUCCUACUUUAGCAAUGUAAAUAAUUGAUUUUUCAAAACCAAAUUCUCAGGCAUCACUAUCUUUUCCACCCGAGUCUAUAAACCAAAGGCGGAGGUUGACUAUCUUAUUAUUCAUAUUUUUUUUUUUUGUGUGUGUGUGUGUGUGUGACUAGGGAUUGAACCUAGUGCCUUCCCAGCCCUUUUUGUUUUUUAUUUUGACACAGGAUCUCCUCAAUUGGAAGGCCAGCCUCAAAUUUGUGAUCCUCCUGCCUCAGCUUCCUGAGUAGCUGGGAUUAUAGGCCUGCACCACUAUGCCCAGCUCAUUGUCCAAUCUUUCUUUGACUCUUCAGUGUUGUUUUCUGCCUUCAUCACUAUAAUGAAUCCACUCCCGAAGCUUACUUAUGGUCUCUUCAUUCUUAAAUCCACUGGUUGUUGUAAAAGAUUUACCACUUUAACUAGGACUGUCCUGAGGAUAUGUGGAGUCUCAGGCAAAUGUUUUUGGCAGGCCCCUAUCAGUGUAAAUUAUUUGUUUAAAAACACAAUAAUUUCAUGGGCCCAUAUGAAGUAUGAUGAUUUAGCAGUGAAUAUAUAGAAUAAUGGAUAGUGAGGUAGUACUUACAUUGCUUAUUCAAUGCCCAUUACACCUGGAGCUUGGCAUAAGUUCUUGUUCUAGUAGUCUUUUGAGAAGGGGUGCUUAAAAGUUCUAUUUUUUGAGGUCUUGCAUAUUUGAACAUGUUUUUAUUCAACUCACACUUGAUUGGUAAUUUGCCUAGGAAUAGAACUGUAGAUGGAGAAAUAAACUUACCUUAGAAUUUUGGGGGUAUUUUUGUAAGUGAAAAUAAAGGCAAAGCUCUUUAACAAAGAAACCUCAAAAUACAGCAACUUAAACGUCUGAUUAGUAGUUCCUAUAUCGUCAUUGUGUCUUCUAAUCUCUAUCUCCUGGUCUUCUCCAUUACUUUCUUGGAGAAGUCUCUUUACUGUUGAAUUCAUUUUUUUUUCUGAUAUGGAAUCAUCUCUAUCAUGUUUUUCAUUACUUUCAGAAAACAUCCUGUUCUUAUUUCAAGGAUGUUAAAUCUUCUCCAAUAUCUCCAAACAGUAAUUAUAGCUUAAUAAAAUCUUAUUCCUGCACUGUCCCACCUUCUUCUGAGGCCCUUCCUUUUUUAAAUGUCUGAUGAUCCUUGGCUUUUUCUUCAUAUUUAAGAGUGAGGCAACAAAAAAGGUAAUUGUGAUCAUUGGUGGGGGUUUUCAGAAUAUGGGCAAAGACCUGGUUAUUUGGCAUGGGACCUUCCCUGGCCAGUACCUAUAGGUCUUUUUUAUUAGGAUGCUUGGUUUCUCCAGAGACCAAUCAUCUAAUUUCCUAUUUGGUGGGUAAAGCCUGACCAUUAGUAUUUGAAAGAUGACUGAGGACUCAAUAUUUAAUGUGUUGGCUUCCACUAGACUGUUUUCAAUAAGACACAUCCACUUGCUGUCCCAAUUCCAGAUCUUUCCGCUUCAUCACAGAAUAAACUCCAAGACUUCUGUUGUGAAUAAGGAGGGACAAUUGACGAACUGAGAUGAUGAAGGAAUAUGGGAGCCAUUUGCUUUUCAGACAGAUUUUCAAUCAAUUCUACUGUGUCCAGCCUCAACUUGUAUUCCUACCUUCAUAGGUUAUUGGUACUUCAAUUCCUGAAUCUUACUGAGUAUCUGUGCUUAUUGGCCCACCCAUACAUUGUAAGCAUAUGAUUUUUUUUAACAUUUUCUGGCUUGUUAAAUUAAUUACCAUGUGUCCAUCUGUUUUUAACUUCCAAAAUGCAGAUGUUGUUUCUUAUCUACUCUUAUGUCAUCUCCAAUUUUCUUUUUACUAGUUAAUCCACCAAUUGGCAUUUUAAUGGGGGAGGAGGAGAGAAAAAAAGGAGGCAGAGAUUUGAGCUUUCAGAAUUAACUACAAGGGCAUUAUUUUCUUAACUAGUUCCUGUUUUCCAUUUUUUCCCCCUUAGUCUCUCCUUUUUGGACUUUUAGAUAGAUUUUUGAACUUUUGAAGCUACCCUCUGCAUUUCUCAGUGCUUUCUUCCUCAAGUUUCAAAGAUUUAUUUCUGAUGUUGCAUUUUCAGAGAAUUUCUUGGUCAAAUCUUCCAACCUGCAAGUUGACUCUUCAAGUUUGUCCAUCCUGCCAAUAAUUUAAUUUCAACAGUUAUCAUUUUUCUACUUCCACGGUCUCUGCUUCAGUUAUUAACUUCCUGUUCCUAGUUCAUGAUGAUACUACCCAUCCUUAUCUUUUUGAAAAUAUUAAUUAUACUUAUUUUAAAGUCCUGUCUGACACUUUUCAGUUCUAUUUCAUUGAGUUUACAUUCCUUUAAUUUUUUGAGCUGAUGUCUCUCUUAUGGUGUUACAAACUUCUCAACCAUUUGGUGAUUCUUUUUUUUUUUUUGUGUGUGUGUGCACUCUUCUUCAUGAUUGAUGCUAUUUACUAGAAUGUCUGACAUCUCUGGCUUUCACAGCCCAGUUGGUUGGAGGGGCUGUUGUCACUGUCAGGAUUGCUUACCAUAUGUGUUUUAACUGAAAAUUUUAAGUGAAUGGGUUGUGCUGCUAGUGAGGUACAUGGGAAGUUUGUGUGCAGGGUGCAAUUGCUCCAUAGUCUCUGUGGAUAUCUCCCAUGGCAUAGUCUUGAUUCCUCCUGAGA